UCUCUUCCUCCUCCUGGAGCAGAGAAACCCAAGGGGGAGAAGAGACGCGGAUCCAUGGUUACGAGGUUCCAUUUUCAUCCCCUCGCCGCCCCACCCCAAUCCCUCCCACCUUCUCCAUCCCUUCCCCUCUUCCGCUCCUCGCCCUCCUUCACUUAUAGACUUCCCCUUCCUUAUAGGAUUAAAACCAAACGAUAAAAAAAUAAAAAUAAAAAUAAAUCGAAGCGCCCGUGCGAAUCCCUCAGCUCAAGAACGCCAUCUGCAAUUUCCGCAAAAACCCUCGUUUCUUCCAUUCUUUUUGUCCUCCAUCAAUCUCCCAACAAACCCUAGAGAGUUCACCUGUACAAACAAAUGAAAACCCUCAAAAGUUUUCGUAGAAAUCCGUCGAAUUGUUGAAUUAGAGAUCGUUGGAGCUCGCCAAAUCUUCUUUCCGCCUCUUGGUCCCGAAUUAGGGUUUUGCCGCCAUGAGCCGGAGGGUGAGGAGGCGCGGCGUGCAGUCCAAGGACAAGGAGAAGGUCGUCAUCUCCCCGGUCUUCCCUGAGGCCGCCGAGGAUUGCGAGAUCCUCCGCCCUGGCGGCGGCGGCGGCGGAGGCGACGGUGCUGGGGUGGCCGCCGUGGACUGGACUUGCCUCGCCGACGACACCGUGGUCCAGCUCUUCUCCUGCCUCAACUACCGGGACCGCGCCAGCCUCGCUUCCACGUGCCGCACCUGGCGCCUCCUCGGCUCCUCCCCCUGCCUUUGGACCGCUCUCGACCUCCGUGCCCACCGCUGCGGCCCUGACACCGCCGCCGCCCUCGCCGGCCGGUGCUCCCACCUCCGUCGCCUUCGCUUCCGGGGCGCUGAUGCUGCCGCCGCCGUCAUGAACCUCCAGGCCCGCGGCCUGCAGGAGAUCGCAGGGGACUACUGCCGCGACAUCACCGACGCCACCCUGUCGGUGAUUGCUGCCCGCCACGAAGCCCUUGAGAGCCUCCAGAUCGGCCCCGACCCGUGCGAGAGAAUCACCAGUGAUGCUAUCCGUCAUGUCGCCAUGUGCUGCACGAGGUUAAGGAGGCUGCGCCUCUCCGGCAUCCGGGAGGUUGACGGAGAGGCAGUGGGAGCCUUCGCGCGGCAUUGCCCGCAGUUGGAUGAGAUAGCCUUCUUGGAUUGUGGGAGCAUCGAUGAGAGUGCUCUUGGGAAGGUGGUGUCCCUAAGAUUCUUAUCCGUUGCAGGGUCACGGAACUUGAAGUGGGCUACGGCCUCCCUUGCCUGGAGCAAGCUCCCAAACUUGAUCGGUCUGGAUGUUUCAAGGACGGACGUCUCCCCGAGUGCCGUAUCGAGGCUUAUCUCCCUGUCCAAAAGCUUGAAGGUGUUGUGCGCUCUCAACUGUGUCGCACUCGAGGAGGAAGUGAAUCACAACCCCGCAGCAUUUACCAAUACCAAGGGCAAAGUGCUGCUUGGCCUUUUCAGUGAUAUAUUCAAAGGGAUUGCUUCUUUGUUCAAGGGCACUGUGGUUAAGGAGCGGGGUAUCUUCGGGGAAUGGAGGAGUUGGGAAAACAAGGACAAGAACCUGAAUGAUAUCAUGAUCUGGAUUGAGUGGAUCCUGUCGCAAUCACUGCUUCGUAUAGCAGAGACUAACCCACAUGGCAUUGAUGAGUUUUGGUUAAGGCAAGGUGCUGCUUUGUUGCUGAGCCUGGUGAAGAGUUCACAGGCGGACGUGCAAGAGAGAGCGGCGACUGGGCUUGCUACAUUUGUGGUCAUUGAUGAUGAUAAUGCAGCAGUUGACCCAGCGAGGGCAGAGGCGGUGAUGCGGAAUGGUGGGAUACCUUUGCUUUUGGAGCUUGCAAAGUCUUGCCGGGAGGGCAUACAGUCUGAAGCUGCAAAGGCCAUUGCAAACUUGUCGGUAAAUACCAAAGUUGCGAAAGCAGUUGCUGAUGAAGGGGGUAUCAGUAUUCUUGCAGAUCUGGCGAGAUCCAUGAACAGGUUGGUUGCUGAAGAGGCUGCUGGAGGGCUCUGGAACCUUUCCGUGGGAGAAGAGCACAAGGCGGCCAUUGCCGAGGCUGGUGGGGUAAAAGCUUUGGUGGAUCUUAUUUUCAAAUGGUACUCUGGAAUAGAUGGAGUUCUGGAACGUGCUGCUGGUGCCCUUGCAAAUUUGGCUGCCGAUGACAAAUGCAGUCUGGAGGUUGCAGUGGCUGGUGGUGUCCAAGCUUUGGUAAUGCUUGCUCGGUGGUGCAAGGUUGAGGGAGUACAAGAACAGGCUGCUCGAGCUUUAGCUAAUCUGGCUGCUCAUGGAGAUAGCAACAGUAAUAAUGCUGCCGUUGGUCAAGAGGCAGGUGCACUUGAGGCAUUGGUGCAGCUAACUUGUUCUCAAAAUGAAGGUGUAAGACAAGAAGCUGCUGGUGCUUUGUGGAACUUAUCUUUUGAUGAUAGAAACCGAGAAGCAAUUGCUGCAGCUGGUGGGGUUGAAGCCUUGGUAGGUCUUGCACAAGGAUGUUCAAAUGCUUCUCAAGGACUCCAAGAGAGGGCUGCAGGUGCUUUGUGGGGAUUGUCAGUAUCAGAGGCUAAUAGCAUUGCCAUCGGACGAGAAGGUGGUGUUGCACCUCUAAUUACAUUGGCACGGUCAGAUGCUGAAGAUGUUCAUGAGACUGCUGCUGGUGCACUUUGGAAUCUUGCUUUUAAUUCUGGCAAUGCUCUUCGCAUAGUUGAAGAGGGGGGAGUUCCGGCCCUUGUACACCUCUGUGCAUCAUCAGGAUCAAAAAUGGCUCGUUUUAUGGCUGCAUUGGCGCUUGCUUACAUGUUUGAUGGAAGAAUGGAUGAGGUUGCAUUGGUUGGGUCUUCAUUAGAAGGUGCUUCAAAGAGUGUUAACUUUGAUGGUGCUAGAAGGAUGGCAUUGAAGCAUAUUGAAGCUUUUGUGCUGACUUUUUCAGAGCCACAACUCUUCUCCAUGGCUGCAGCAUCUUCGGCUCCUGCAGCCUUGGCACAAAUAGCUGAAGCAGCGCGCAUACAAGAAGCAGGACAUCUGAGAUGCAGUAGAGCCGAGAUUGGGAGAUUUGUUGCCAUGCUUCGAAACCCAUCAUCCAUUCUUCGAGCCUGUGCAGCUUUUGCUCUUCUUCAGUUCACCAUUCCAGGAGGCAGGCAUGCGGUGCACCAUGCAGGCCUCUUGCAGAAAGCUGGGGCAGCACGGGUCCUACGUGCUGCUGCUGCAGCUGCAACAGCUCCUAUUGAAGCGAAAAUUUUUGCGAGGAUAGUGCUCAGGAAUCUUGAACACCACCAGCUGGAAGCUUCAAUAUAAAGCUUGAAUAAGGAAAUUGUUCUCCAGCAUUCAAGUCGAACACUUUUGCCCAUGCAUCAGCCUGAAACGAUGUGCACAUUUGAAUUCUGCUCUAUGAAAAUGCAGAUUCCGUGGUUACUGAAGCUUCUGUUCCUUGACGGAGCUUUGCUUUCCGGUUGAUAUCCUGAGGCCUAGGCCCUUGACAAACAGAAUUGAGGUGGGGCUUGCUUGCGCUUGUUAGUCAGGGAGCAUGGAAAUCUCUGGUCUAUAUGCCUUGUUUCCAAGACUGAUCAUCUUCCAAGAUUGGUUAGCAGAAAAGUGGAAGCUGUAUUCUUUCUGUUCGUUUUCCUUGGCCUAUGCCAUUGCUGAAGUUCUGGUCUACUUGUGCUGAUGCUGGUUGUAGUUGAUUACCGGUUUACUUGGUUUGGUGAGGGGGAAGCUGUAGGUUAUAGGUUUAGUGUUACUCCCUCUUGAUGAUGUCGUAUGAACAUGUGGUCCAAGAGCGGUAUUUCUUUACGAUUGCUGGGGUUACAGGAAUACUCGAUCAGUUAUUAUUGUGAAAAAUGAAGAUAGGAGCAAUAUUUAACCCACCCACAUUUUUUUA
This is an RNA transcript of Phoenix dactylifera (date palm), 3849 nucleotides long. It is a transcript of the gene named protein ARABIDILLO 1-like, with no coding region annotated. NCBI's taxonomy places the organism in Eukaryota, Viridiplantae, Streptophyta, Magnoliopsida, Arecales, Arecaceae. The record is from RefSeq and is a predicted model, not a curated record.